This 477-nucleotide ribosomal RNA is filed under the name uncultured bacterium. Its description in RNAcentral is "partial 16S ribosomal RNA". It matches the Rfam family "Bacterial small subunit ribosomal RNA", at positions 28 to 507 of the family's 1533-position model. The record is from RNAcentral.
GAUUAACGCUGGCGGCGUGCCUAACACAUGCCAGUCGAACGAUGAAACUUAGUAGACUUCUUCGGAAAGACACUAAGCGGCUUAGUGGCGAACGGGUGAGUAACGCGUGAGUAACCUGCCUUACACAAGGGGAUAGCCUUUGGAAACGAAGAAUAAUACCCUAUAAAACCAUAAAAGCACAUGCUAGAAUGGUCAAAGUGCUAGCGGUGUAAGAUGGACUUGCGUCUGAUUAGCUAGUUGGUGAGAUAAAAGCUCACCAAGGCAACGAUCAGUAGCCGGCACGGAGGAGUGGACGGCAACAUUGGGACUGGGACAAGGCCCAGACCCCUACGGAAGGCAGCAGUGGGGAAUGUUGCACAAUGGGGGAAACCCUGAUGCAGCGACGCCGCGUAAUUUAGAAGGCCGUCGGGUUGUAAAAAUCUUGUGUAUAGGAAGAAAAUGACAGUACUAUACGAAUAAGGUCCGGCUAAUUACGUG